UGAACGCUGGCGGCGUGCCUACUACAUGCAAGUCGAGCGAACGGACGAGAAGCUUGCUUCUCUGAUGUUAGCGGCGGACGGGUGAGUAACACGUGGAUAACCUACCUAUAAGACUGGGAUAACUUCGGGAAACCGUAGCUAAUACCGGAUAAUAUUUUGAACCGCAUGGUUCAAAAGUGAAAGACGGUCUUGCUGUCACUUAUAGAUGGAUCCGCGCUGCAUUAGCUAGUUGGUAAGGUAACGGCUUACCAAGGCAACGAUGCAUAGCCGACCUGAGAGGGUGUCCGCCCACACUGGACUGGGACCACGUUCCAGACCCCUCGGGGAGGAAGCAUUAGGAAAUUUCCCGCAUGGGGCGAAGGCUGGACGAGGCACCGCGGCUGGGUUAUGAAGGUCCUCCGAUUCGUAAACUCUGUUUAUAGGGAAGAACAUAUGUGUAAGUAACUGUGCACAUCUUGACGGUACCUAAUCAGAAAGCCACGGCUAACUACGUG
This 494-nucleotide ribosomal RNA is filed under the name uncultured bacterium. RNAcentral describes it as "partial 16S ribosomal RNA". It matches the Rfam family "Bacterial small subunit ribosomal RNA", at positions 30 to 507 of the family's 1533-position model. The record is from RNAcentral.